RNAcentral lists this long non-coding RNA (8960 nucleotides) under Vitis vinifera (wine grape). RNAcentral describes it as "long non-coding RNA (VVIN_LNC003280)". Lineage: Eukaryota; Viridiplantae; Streptophyta; Magnoliopsida; Vitales; Vitaceae. The record is from RNAcentral.
CUACCCAGAAGAGUGGCUCAAGUUCACAUUCAGAAUUUAUUUGUUGAAAGAGUAUCUCCACUUUAUCACAAUCGAGCACUUCCAAUUCUUUCAGAAGUGGCCAGCUUGAACUAAACCUUCUAGAGCAAAAUCUUUUGAGUUGGUGUAAACCGGAGAGUGUGAGAGAGGUAAGGUUAGGGAAUGAGAGUAAAGGUGCUGCUUCAUCUUCAUUUUCAUUGGCAACAAUUGCCUCCACUCCACUCUCCGAUAUAUAAAGGUCCUCAAGUUGCACAAGAGCACUCGCCACAGAAACCGGAAAAAGGUUUAGCAAUUUGUUGCAUCCCCUUCCUUGCAAUUUCCUUAAUUUGGAAAAUGAAUUUGCUGGAAGUUGGUCAGGCCACAAUGCUCUUAUAUUAUCUAGUCCACGUACAGACAAGGACUCCAAGCCUGGGAGUGCAACCUGUGCAAUUGAUGAUCCCUUUAGUUAAUAAUAUAUACAUAUACAUUCCUAAUAAUUAGACACAUGUAAAUAGAAAAUAAGAGGUUAAAGGAGAAUAUAUCAGUAUAACAAAGCACAAAAUUUAAACUAGAUUCAAGAAGAUCAAGAAAGAGAAAAGAAAAGAAAAAGCCUCCAGAUUUUGAAGAUACAAUGAAACUUAAAAAAAAAAAAAAAAAAACUUCCAAAUUUUCCUUUCGAAAUGAGGUAAUAAGAGGAUUUUUUUUUUCUUUUUUCUUUGCCUCUCUUUCAAAUUUGAUUAACUUCUAUGGAAAACGUAUUUUAACUAGUUAUGGAAAACCGAUUUUUUUUUUUUUAACUUUUAUAUAAGAUACAAGUAAUACUUUAAAAAAAUUGUGAUAUCUAAAUAAUUUUUUGAAAAAUUAUUUUUAAAGAAAUAAGGUAAAUCUAUACUUUUUGUACAAGAUGUUCUACCUUUAUAUACAAAUUUCUGAUUUUUUUUUUAAAAGUGUAUCCAAAUGGACACUAAACUAUCUAGUUUUUAAUUGUUACAACUUUGAAUUGGAUUUUAUGGUAAACUAAUUUACAAGUUAAUGCAUGGAUUCAUCUUAGAUUCCAUCUAUAAAUUUUUUUAAUUAUCUAAUAUAAGACAUUAUAUUAAUGAGUUGAAUUAAUAAUGUAAUUAUAAUUUAUUUGGCAACUUUCUUCCUUCAAAUAUAUAAAAUGAAAAUAAAGUUUAAAAAAUAAAAAAAAUGAAAAAAAUAAAAAAUAAAAAAUGAUUUUUUUUAUAGUUUUUCUAAGAUGAUUUUGUAGAGUACUGUUAGUUUAUAGUUUUAACUUUAUUUCAUUUUACUUUUAACUUUAUUUAUUGAGGUAUGUUCUUUUUUGAAACUCUUGUUUAGAUUUUAUAGAGAAUAUAAAUUUUAAGAAAAAAAAUGAAAUUUAAAUAAAAUAAGAAUAAAGAAAGGCAAAAGGUGGAUGAAUUUUUUUAAGGCAAAAGUUUGAUAACUUGGCACUAUCAUGUAAUGGGUGAAAUUUUUAAAUACUCAACAAAGGCUAGUGAAAUUUAAAUUAAAAGCUUGACAUGUACCUUUUCGACCAAAAUCUUUGGAGUUGGUGUAAAGUUUUGAGUAUGAGAGAGGUUAGUCUAGGGAAUAUUAUUGCACAUUAGUUCAAAUAAAACAUCAACAUUUUUUUUUUGUUAAAUUCUAAAUGAACACCGCUAUAAAUUAAUGCGAUUUUGUAUGCUCAAUUAAAUAAACUUGUUCUUAAGGCAUCACAUGAAGUGUUUAAGUCUAAUUAAUAUUAAUUAAAAAUGAUUAUAUUAAAAAAAAUCCAAAGUAAUUUAUUUUUAUCAUAAGUCAAGUAGGAUAGUUUUAUAAAUAAUUGGUUCUAGUUUCUAGUACUAUUGUACACAAUCGCUAUGUUUGUUGCACCUCCAAAAAAUCUACUACUUGUAAUUAAUUGUAUAUUAUUCUCCAUAUUCACAUCAGUUUAUGUAGUAUGAUUAAUUUAGCAACAAAAUAUAAGUUUACUUGAAAUCGCUUUAAAUUCCUAUGAUAUUAAAGUUUAAGAUUAAAACAAUGUAACAUUAGCCAAAAAGAUUAAGAUCUAUAAUGUAACAUAUAAUAUUUAGAAAAUUCAAGGAAGGGUAAACUCGCACCUGUUCUACCCAGAAGAGUGGCUCAAGUUCACAUUCAUAAUUUAUUUGUUGAAAGAGUAUCUCCACUUUAUCACAAUCGAGCACUUCCAAUUCUUUCAGAAGUGGCCAGCUUGAACUAAACCUUCUAGAGAAAAAUCUUUUGAGUUGGUGUAAACCGGAGAGUGUAAGAGAGGUAAGGUUAGGGAAUAAGAGUAAAAGUGCUGCUUCAUCUUCAUUUUCAUUGGCAACAAUUGCCUCCACUCCACUUUCCGAUAUAUAUAGGUCCUCAAGUUGCACAAGAGCACUCGCCACAGAAACCGGAAAAAGGUUUAGCAAUUUGUUGCAUCCCCUUACUUGCAAUUUCCUUAAUUUGGAAAAUGAAUUUGCUGGAAGUUGGUCAGACCACAAUGCUCUUAUAUUAUCUAGUCCGCGUACAGACAAGGACUCCAAACCUGGGAGUGCAACCUGUGCAAUUGAUGAUCCCUUUAGUUAAUAAUAUAUACAUAUACAUUCCUAAUAAUUAGACACAUGUAAAUAGAAAAUAAGAGGUUAAAGGAGAAUAUAUCAGUAUAACAAAGCACAAAAUUUAAACUAGAUUCAAGAAGAUCAAGAAAGAGAAAAGAAAAGAAAAAGCCUCCAGAUUUUGAAGAUACAAUGAAACUUAACAAAAAAAAAAAAAAACCACCAAAUUUUCCUUUCGAAAUGAGGUAAUAAGAGGAUUUUUUUUUUUUCUUUUUUCUUUGCCUCUCUUUCAAAUUUGAUUAACUUCUAUGGAAAACGUAUUUUAACUAGUUAUGGAAAACAUAUUUUUUUUUUAAAAAACUUUUCUAUAAGAUACAAGUAAUACUUUAAAAAAAUUGUGAUAUCUAAAAAAUUUUUUGAAAAAUUAUUUUUAAAGAAAUAAGGUAAAUCUAUACUUUUUGUAUAAGAUGUUCUACCUUUAUAUACAAAUUUCUGAUUUUUUUUUUAAAAGUGUAUCCAAAUGGACACUAAACUAUCUAGUUUUUAAUUGUUACAACUUUGAAUUGGAUUUUAUGGUAAACUAAUUUACAAGUUAAUGCAUGGAUUCAUCUUAGAUUCCAUCUAUAAAUUUUUUUAAUUAUCUAAUAUAAGACAUUAUAUUAAUGGGUUGAAUUAAUAAUGUAAUUAUAAUUUAUUUGGCAAGUUUCUUCCUUCAAAUAUAUAAAAUGAAAAUAAAUUUUAAAAAAUAAAAAAAAUGAAAAAAAUAAAAAAUAAAAAAAGAUUUUUUUUAUAGUUUUUCUAAGAUGAUUUUGUAGAGUACUGUUAGUUUAUAGUUUUAACUUUAUUUCAUUUUACUUUUAACUUUAUUUAUUGAGGUAUGUUCUUUUUUGAAACUCUUGUUUAGAUUUUAUAGAGGAUAUAAAUUUUCAGAAAAAAAAAAUUAAAUUUAAAUAAAAUAGGAAUAAAGAAAGGCAAAAGGUGGAUGAAUUUUUUUAAGGCAAAAGUUUGAUAACUUGGCACUAUCAUGUAAUGGGUGAAAUUUUUAAAUACUCAACAAAGGCUAGUGAAAUUUAAAUUAAAAGCUUGACAUGUACCUUUUCGACCAAAAUCUUUGGAGUUGGUGUAAAGUUUUGAGUAUGAGAGAGGUUAGUCUAGGGAAUAUUAUUGCACAUUAGUUCAAAUAAAACAUCAACAUUUUUUUUUUUGUUAAAUUCUAAAUGAACACCACUAUAAAUUAAUGCGAUUUGUAUGCUCAAUUAAAUAAACUCGUUCUUAAGGCAUCACAUGAAGUGUUUAAGUCUAAUUAAUAUUAAUUAAAAAUGAUUAUUUUAAAAAAAUCCAAAGUAAUUUAUUUUUAUCAUAAGUCAAGUAGGAUAGUUUUAUAAAUAAUUGGUUCUAGUUUCUAGUAUUAUUGUACACAAUCGCUAUGUUUGUUGCACCUCCAAAAAAUCUACUACUUGUAAUUAAUUGUAUAUUAUUCUCCAUAUUCACAUCAGUUUAUGUAGUAUGAUUAAUUUAGCAACAAAAUAUAAGUUUACUUGAAAUCGCUUUAAAUUCCUAUGAUAUUAAAGUUUAAGAUUAAAACAAUGUAACAUUAGCCAAAAAGACUAAGAUCUAUAAUGUAACAUAUAAAAUUUAGAAAAUUCAAGGAAGGGUAAACUCGCACCUGUUCUACCCAGAAGAGUGGCUCAAGUUCACAUUCAGAAUUUAUUUGUUGAAAGAGUAUCUCCACUUUAUCACAAUCGAGCACUUCCAAUUCUUUCAGAAGUGGCCAGCUUGAACUAAACCUUCUAGAGCAAAAUCUUUUGAGUUGGUGUAAACCGGAGAGUGUGAGAGAGGUAAGGUUAGGGAAUGAGAGUAAAGGUGCUGCUUCAUCUUCAUUUUCAUUGGCAACAAUUGCCUCCACUCCACUCUCCGAUAUAUAAAGGUCCUCAAGUUGCACAAGAGCACUCGCCACAGAAACCGGAAAAAGGUUUAGCAAUUUGUUGCAUCCCCUUACUUGCAAUUUCCUUAAUUUGGAAAAUGAAUUUGCUGGAAGUUGGUCAGGCCACAAUGCUCUUAUAUUAUCUAGUCCGCGUACAGACAAGGACUCCAAACCUGGGAGUGCAACCUGUGCAAUUGAUGAUCCCUUUAGUUAAUAAUAUAUACAUAUACAUUCCUAAUAAUUAGACACAUGUAAAUAGAAAAUAAGAGGUUAAAGGAGAAUAUAUCAGUAUAACAAAGCACAAAAUUUAAACUCUAUUCAAGAAGAUCCAGAAAGAGAAAAGAAAACGCCUUUUGAUUUUGAAGAUCCAAUGAAACUUUAAAAAAAAAAAAAAAAACCUCCAAAUUUUGCUUUCCAAAUGAGGUAAUAGGAGGAUAUUUUUAUUUUAUUUUUUCUUUGCCUCUCUUUCAAAUUUGAUUAACUUCCAUGGAAAACGUAUUUUAACUAGCCAUGGAAAAUGGAUUUUUUUUUUAAAACUUUUAUAUAAGAUACAAGAACUCUUAGAGGGUUACAUUAUGUAAGUAAUACUUUAAAAAAAAUGUUUAAAAAUAUUGUGAUAUCCAAAAAUUUUACUACCUCGGAUUUUAAAUUUUAAAAAAAUUAUUUUUAAAGAAAUAAGGUAAAUCUAUACUUUUUCGUAUAAGAUAUUCUACCUUUAUAUACAAAUUUCUGAUUUUUUUUUUAAAGUGUAUCCAAAUGGACACUAAACUAUCUAGUUUCGAAUUUUUACAACUUUGAAUUGGAUUUUAUGGUAAACUAAUUGACAAUAUAACGCAUGGAUUCAUCUUAGAUUCCAUCUAUAAAUUUUUUAAUUAUCUAAUAUAAGACAUUAUAUUAAUGGGUUGAAUUAAUAAUGUAAUUAUAAUUUAUUUGGCAACUUUCUUCCUUCAAAUAUAUAAGACGAAAAUAUAUUUUAAAAAAUAAAAAAGAAUGAUAAAAAAUAGAAAAUAAAAAUAGCUUAUUUUAUUGUUUUUCUAAGAUGAUUUUGUAGAGUGUUAGUUUAUAGUUUAACUUUAUUUCAUUUUACUUUUAACAUUAUUUAUUGAGGUAUGUUCUUUUUUGAAACUCUUGUUUAGAUUUUAUAGAGAAUAUAAAUUUUAAGAAAAAAAAUGAAAUUUAAAUAAAAUAAGAAUAAAGAAAGGCAAAAGGUGGAUGAAUUUUUUGAAGGCAAAAGUUUGAUAAUUUGGCACUGUCAUGUAAUGGGUGAAAUUUUUAAAUACUCAACAAAGGCUAGUGAAAUUUAAAUUAAAACCUUGACAUGUACCUUUUCGACCAAAAUCUUUGGAGUUGGUGUAAAGUUUUGAGUAUGAGAGAGGUUAGUCUAGGGAAUAUUAUUGCACAUUAGUUCAAAUAAAACAUCAACAUUUUUUUUUGUUAAAUUCUAAAUGAACACCACUAUAAAUUAAUGCGAUUUUGUAUGCUCAAUUAAAUAAACUCGUUCUUAAGGCAUCACAUGAAGUGUUUAAGUCUAAUUAAUAUUAAUUAAAAAUGAUUAUAUCAAAAAAAAUCCAAAGUAAUUUUUUUUUAUCAUAAGUCAAGUAGGAUAGUUUUAUAAAUAAUUGGUUCUAGUUUCUAGUAUUAUUGUACACAAUCGCUAUGUUUGUUGCACCUCCAAAAAAUCUACUACUUGUAAUUAAUUGUAUAUUAUUCUCCAUAUUCACAUCAGUUUAUGUAGUAUGAUUAAUUUAGCAACAAAAUAUAAGUUUACUUGAAAUCGCUUUAAAUUCCUAUGAUAUUAAAGUUUAAGAUUAAAACAAUGUAACAUUAGCCAAAAAGACUAAGAUCUAUAAUGUAACAAAUAAAAUUUAGAAAAUUCAAGGCAGGGUAAACUCGCACCUGUUCUACCCAGAAGAGUGGCUCAAGUUCACAUUCAGAAUUUAUUUGUUGAAAGAGUAUCUCCACUUUAUCACAAUCGAGCACUUCCAAUUCUUUCAGAAGUAGCCAGCUUGAACUAAACCUUCUAGAGCAAAAUCUUUUGAGUUGGUGUAAACCGGAGAGUGUGAGAGAGGUAAGGUUAGGGAAUAAGAGUAAAGGUGCUGCUUCAUCUUCAUUUUCAUUGGCAACAAUUGCCUCCACUCCACUCUCCGAUAUAUAUAGGUCCUCAAGUUGCACAAGAGCACUCGCCACAGAAACCCGAAAAAGGUUUAGCAAUUUGUUGAAUCCCCUUACAUGCAAUUUCCUUAAUUUGGAAAAUGAAUUUGUUGGAAGUUGGUCAGGCCACAAUGCUCUUAUAUUAUCCAGUCCGCAUACAUACAAGGACUCCAAGCCUUGGAGUGCAACCUGUGCAAUUGAUAAUCCCUUUGGUUAAUAAUAUAUACAUAUACAUUCCUAAUGAUUAGACACAUGUAAAUAGAAAAUAAGAGGUUAAAGGAGAAUAUAUCAGUAUAACAAAGCACAAAAUUUAAACUAGAUUAAAGAAGAUCAAGAAAGAGAAAAGAAAAGAAAAAGCCUCCAGAUUUUGAAGAUACAAUGAAACUUAAAAAAAAAAAAAAAAAACCUCCAAAUUUUCCUUUCGAAAUGAGGUAAUAAGAGGAUUUUUUUUUUCUUUUUUCUUUGCCUCUCUUUCAAAUUUGAUUAACUUCUAUGGAAAACGUAUUUUAACUAGUUAUGGAAAACGGAUUUUUUUUUUUAAAAACUUUUAUAUAAGAUACAAGUAAUACUUUAAAAAAAUUGUGAUAUCUAAAAAAUUUUUUGAAAAAUUAUUUUUAAAGAAAUAAGGUAAAUCUAUACUUUUUGUAUAAGAUGUUCUACCUUUGUAUUCAAAUUUCUGAUUUUUUUUUUUUAAAGUGUAUCCAAAUGCACACUAAACUAUCUAGUUUUUAAUUGUUACAACUUUGAAUUGGAUUUUAUGGUAAACUAAUUUACAAGUUAAUGCAUAGAUUCAUCUUAGAUUCCAUCUAUAAAUUUUUUUAAUUAUCUAAUAUAAGACAGUAUAUUAAUGGGUUGAAUUAAUAAUGUAAUUAUAAUUUAUUUGGCAACUUUCUUCCUUCAAAUAUAUAAAAUGAAAAUAAAUUUUAAAAAAUAAAAAAUAAAAAAAAGAUUUUUUUUAUAGUUUUUCUAAGAUGAUUUUGUAGAGUUCUGUUAGUUUAUAGUUUUCACUUUAUUUAUUGAGGUAUGUUCUUUUUUGAAACUCUUGUUUAGAUUUUAUUGAGAAUAUAAAUUUUAAGAAAAAAAAUAAAAUUUAAAUAAAAUAAGAAUAAAGAAAGGCAAAAGCUGGAUGAAUUUUUUUAAGGCAAAAGUUUGAUAAUUUGGCACUCUCAUGUAAUGGGUGAAAUUUUUAAAUACUCAACAAAGGCUAGUGAAAUUUAAAUUAAAACCAUGACAUGUACCUUUUAGACCAAAAUCUUUGGAGUUGGUGUAAUGUUUUGAGUAUGAGAGAGGUUAGUCUAGGGAAUAUUAUUGCACAUUAGUUCAAAUAAAACAUCAACAUUUUUUUUUGUUAAAUUCUAAAUGAACACCACUAUAAAUUAAUGCGAUUUUGUAUGCUCAAUUAAAUAAACUCGUUCUUAAGGCAUCACAUGAAGUGUUUAAGUCUAAUUAAUAUUAAUUAAAAAUGAUUAUAGUAAAAAAAAUCCAAAGUAAUUUUUUUUUAUCAUAAGUCAAGUAGGAUAGUUUUAUAAAUAAUUGGUUCUAGUUUCUAGUAUUAUUGUAGACAAUCGCUAUGUUUGUUGCACCUCCAAAAAAUCUACUACUUGUAAUUAAUUGUAUAUUAUUCUCCAUAUUCACAUCAGUUUAUGUAGUAUGAUUAAUUUAGCAACAAAAUAUAAGUUUACUUGAAAUGGCUUUAAAUUCCUAUGAUAUUAAAGUUUAAGAUUAAAACAAUGUAACAUUAGCAAAAAAGAUUAAGAUCUAUAAUGUAACAAAUAAAAUUUAGAAAAUUCAAGGCAGGGUAAACUCGCACCUGUUCUACCCAGAAGAGUGGCUCAAGUUCACAUUCAGAAUUUAUUUGUUGAAAGAGUAUCUCCACUUUAUCACAAUCGAGCACUUCCAAUUCUUUCAGAAGUAGCCAGCUUGAACUAAACCUUCUAGAGCAAAAUCUUUUGAGUUGGUGUAAACCGGAGAGUGUGAGAGAGGUAAGGUUAGGGAAUAAGAGUAAAGGUGCUGCUUCAUCUUCAUUUUCAUUGGCAACAAUUGCCUCCACUCCACUCUCUGAUAUAUAUAGGUCCUCAAGUUGCACAAGAGCACUCGCCACAGAAACCCGAAAAAGGUUUAGCAAUUUGUUGAAUCCCCUUACAUGCAAUUUCCUUAAUUUGGAAAAUGAAUUUGUUGGAAGUUGGUCAGGCCACAAUGCUCUUAUAUUAUCCAGUCCGCAUACAUACAAGGACUCCAAGCCUGGGAGUGCAACCUGUGCAAUUGAUAAUCCCUUUGGUUAAUAAUAUAUACAUAUACAUUCCUAAUAAUUAGACACAUGUAAAUAGAAAAUAAGAGGUUAAAGG